UGCUAUACAUGCAAGUAGAACGCUGAAGAGAGGAGCUUGCUCUUCUUGGAUGAGUUGCGAACGGGUGAGUAACGCGUAGGUAACCUGCCUUGUAGCGGGGGAUAACUAUUGGAAACGAUAGCUAAUACCGCAUAACAAUGGAUGACACAUGUCAUUUAUUUGAAAGGGGCAAUUGCUCCACUACAAGAUGGACCUGCGUUGUAUUAGCUAGUAGGUGAGGUAACGGCUCACCUAGGCGACGAUACAUAGCCGACCUGAGAGGGUGAUCGGCCACACUGGGACUGAGACACGGCCCAGACUCCUACGGGAGGCAGCAGUAGGGAAUCUUCGGCAAUGGGGGCAACCCUGACCGAGCAACGCCGCGUGAGUGAAGAAGGUUUUCGGAUCGUAAAGCUCUGUUGUAAGUCAAGAACGAGUGUGAGAGUGGAAAGUUCACACUGUGACGGUAGCUUACCAGAAAGGGACGGCUAACUACGUGCCAGCAGCCGCGGUAAUACGUAGGUCCCGAGCGUUGUCCGGAUUUAUUGGGCGUAAAGCGAGCGCAGGCGGUUUGAUAAGUCUGAAGUUAAAGGCUGUGGCUCAACCAUAGUUCGCUUUGGAAACUGUCAAACUUGAGUGCAGAAGGGGAGAGUGGAAUUCCAUGUGUAGCGGUGAAAUGCGUAGAUAUAUGGAGGAACACCGGUGGCGAAAGCGGCUCUCUGGUCUGUAACUGACGCUGAGGCUCGAAAGCGUGGGGAGCGAACAGGAUUAGAUACCCUGGUAGUCCACGCCGUAAACGAUGAGUGCUAGGUGUUGGAUCCUUUCCGGGGAUUCAGUGCCGCAGCUAACGCAUUAAGCACUCCGCCUGGGGAGUACGACCGCAAGGUUGAACUCAAGG
Molecule: ribosomal RNA, 877 nt
Filed under: Streptococcus salivarius
Lineage: Bacteria; Bacillati; Bacillota; Bacilli; Lactobacillales; Streptococcaceae
Description: bacterial SSU rRNA
Rfam family: Bacterial small subunit ribosomal RNA
Source: RNAcentral